Molecule: non-coding RNA, 931 nt
Organism: Rattus norvegicus (Norway rat)
Lineage: Eukaryota; Metazoa; Chordata; Mammalia; Rodentia; Muridae
Source: RefSeq, a predicted model, not a curated record
CAUUACGCAACAUUAUUCAUUAUAAAUGUCUCAUUGUUCUGUCUAGCAACCAGAUGUGCUGAUGACAACUCUUUCACUCAAGGUAAAUUACGUGAUAAUGGGAAGAAAGGAAAUCAUUUCAUCUUGCAUUCAAUGGGAUGUAAUCAUCAGGUUGGCAUGUGCAGAAAAAAAAAAAAGCCAACAGUGACUUGAGACUGUUUAAGCUCCUGGUGGGUUCCCACACUUAUGUUCCAGUCAGUGUGAAAAGAGAACGGCAUGAACACUACAGCCUAGAACUCCAAGGAUCAAGAAAUCCUUCUGCUUCAGCCUCCCAAGUAGGCAGUUAUAUGUGUAUAUUGCCACUGAAGAUAUUUACUUACACGGUUAAGACUUCUUGUCUCCAUGGUUCCCUCCAUGAUGAUUAUUAAUUAAACCUCUGAAACACUGUCAAGUUCCAAACAGGAACCUAGCAUGACUACUCUCCAAAAAGCCCACAAGCAGCUGAAAGAGUCAGAUACAGAUAUUUACACCCAACCAAUGGACAGAAGCUGGUGACCCCUGUGGUUGAACUAGGGAAAUGCUGGAAGAGGCUGAGGAAAAGGUCGACCCUAUAGAAAGUCCAGUAGACUCAACUAACCUGGACUCUCGAGAUCUCUCAAACACUGAGCCACCAACCAGGCAGCAUACACCAGCUGAUACGAAGCCCCCAACACAUGCACAACAGAGGACUGCAGUGUCUAGACUCAGUAAGAGAAGAUGCACCUAACCCUCAAGAGACUUGAGGCCCCACGUAGGGAGGAGGUCUGGUGGGGUGGUUUCAAGAAAGCAGGGACACCCUCUUGGGUCAGGGAAGGCAGAGGAGGUUUGGAUGGGGAAUAAUCAGAGGGUGGACCGGGAGGGAGAUAAAGACUGGACUGUAAAAAAAGAUUAAAGAAUAACAAAGUUAGUUAUA